Molecule: ribosomal RNA, 777 nt
Filed under: uncultured Neocallimastigales
Lineage: Eukaryota; Fungi; Neocallimastigomycota; Neocallimastigomycetes; Neocallimastigales
Description: partial large subunit ribosomal RNA
Rfam family: Eukaryotic large subunit ribosomal RNA
Source: RNAcentral
UCAGACGAUGCGUCAUGCAUAUCAAUAAGCGGAGGAAAAGAAACUAACAAGGAUUCCCCUAGUAACGGCGAGUGAAGCGGGAAGAGCUCAAAUUUGAAAUCUUAAAGGGUUUCCCUUUACGAAUUGUAGUUUAAAGAAGUGGUUUUCUGUUGAGGUUUUGGUAAAAGUUCUUUGGAAUAGGACAUCAUAGAGGGUGAGAAUCCCGUAUUUGACCUUUACUUUCAACUUUGAUGAUACACUUUCAAAGAGUCGGAUUGUUUGGGAAUGCAGUCCAAAAUGGGUGGUAAAUUUCAUCUAAAGCUAAAUAUUGGCGAGAGACCGAUAGCGAACAAGUACCGUGAGGGAAAGAUGAAAAGAACUUUGAAAAGAGAGUUAAACAGGUACGUGAAAUUGUCAAAAGGGAAGCGUUUGACACCAGUGUUGUUUUUCUGAAAAUCAAUUAAAGAACUGUUUAUGCUAAGCUGUUUAGACUUUAUCAGCUAUCUGUUUAGUUUUGAGCUUUUCUUUAAUGCACUUUUCAGUUAACAAGUCAACAUCAAUUUCUUUUGCUGUAAAAAAGCUUGAGGAAGGUGGCUUGAGAUUCGUCUUAAGUGUUUAUAGCCUCUUGCCUAUGCAGUCGGAGAGAUUGAGGUCUGCAGCGUAGAUCCUUCGGGGCUAAAUGCAUUUGUGCUAAGUUAUAGCAUUUUAUAGACAACUUGUUGACUAUGAUUUGUCUUGUAGCUUACUCGCUUAUGUUAUUUUACCUACGCUUAGGAUGUUGACACACGCGCGUGCUCG